UCAUCUCCCUUUACGACCUGUUCUGAUUUGCUGAUAACGCAAUCUAGUGGUUUAGUUUUAUUAUCUAACCCUCCAUAUGAUGAAAUUCGUUGUUGCCACUUUUGCCUGUGUAUUGGCCGUCUCCAUGGCUGUUCCCAUGGGAGGUUUGGGGAUGUACGGCGCUGGUUUAGGAAUGUAUGGACCUUGGUCCGGAAUGUACGGUGGCCUAGGAAUGUAUGGCGGACUCGGAAUGUACGGAGGUCUUGGAAUGUAUGGCGGCCUUGGUGGUCUAGGGAUGUACGGAGCUGGUAUGGGACUGUACGGAGCUGGUAUGGGUAUGUACGGAGCUGGUCUGUACCCGGGAAUGAUGAUGGGAGGAAUGUACCCAGGAAUGUUGGCUGGUAUGAACUCUUAUGCUGGUAUGAUGGGAACUCAGUUUGGUAAUGUCAACAAUAACAACAUUGAUACCACGGUUUAAAAGUCAUAUCACCACGUUCAUAAAACAUACCAUUCAUUUUUAUCAAGAAAAGUGUCGGCAUUAUUUCUCUUAUUAUUAUCAUUAGAAUAAAUAAAUUAAAUGUUCAUCAACAAUUAAAAUUGAA
Molecule: long non-coding RNA, 581 nt
Organism: Patella vulgata (common limpet)
Lineage: Eukaryota; Metazoa; Mollusca; Gastropoda; Patellidae
Exons: 3
Source: RefSeq, a predicted model, not a curated record